GUUUUAGAUAAGAAGUAAAAUAGAAUUUUAUUGAUUCUCAGCUGAUCGAAAUCGAUCGCCAUGUAAACAAAGUCACAUGACCGUCUAGACGUCUGGGAAUUCGUCUGCUAUGUAUUUCUUUGAGAUUUUAGUAUUUUUGCAAGAUCAGUAAACGUGGAAACAUGAAAUUCAAUUAACAAUUUCCUAUUAUAAUAAUGUAUCUAAAUGAUAUGAAUGUGUCGCCCUUGGGUUAUUUUUGCACUAAGCCUGUUUACAAUGUGAUUACGCCAAUUUUGUAUCAAAGCGCUUUACCCCAAACCAUGUUUUGCUUGCCCGAUUAAAAUUUACGUAAUGUACGACGUUCUAACCUAUAGUCCCGCUUUCCUUAAAGUCAUAGCUAAUAAAGCGCCACACCCGGGCAAGCUGUUAACUCUUAAGUAACUCCAAAUUCAUGAAAGUUUAGGCAAUUGCCCGGAUCAACUUGUCCCACCAUUUUUGUUUUGAUUGUUAUGGUUGGCUAAUACAUGUCACGUGACAUAUAAAUUUAUUAUAUAAGGAGCGCCGCUUUCAUAAUAUGGCGAAUAGCUGCCGUGGCGGGUAACUACAAAUUGUAAAAGUGACAACAGUAAUAAUUUUCGUAAAGAAAUAACAACACAGCAGAGGUAUGAAUAUUUAUUGUAAUUUUAAUACCAUUUUGUACUCAGCACAUCAACCCACAGAAUUUAAAUGGAAAAUAAGGAUAAAAACCGGCUGUCAGUUCCUACCUUGUCCAGUUACCCCAGUGUGUUAAUAAUGUAAUCCUGCAGUUAUUCCCCAUCACAUCGACCUUUCUAACCAUAGAUAAUUAACAAGGGACCAUAUAUUAGGAUUUUACUAGGAUAAACUGUUACUUUCGGCCUGACAUAAUUAGUUACAUGGAUGUGCCAAUUGUUGGUAUUUAGAUGUUCCAGUCCCAGUUUGGAUGUGCCAUCACAAUAUUAAAUAUAGAUUUUUCUUACCCUGAUUUAUCCAUGCUUCAUCACCAGGCUUAGUCAAGGGUGACUUAGUUAUAUAAACAAUGUUAGAAGAAUAUAUCUUAUUC
Molecule: long non-coding RNA, 1060 nt
Filed under: Mytilus galloprovincialis (Mediterranean mussel)
Lineage: Eukaryota; Metazoa; Mollusca; Bivalvia; Mytilida; Mytilidae
Source: RNAcentral